This is an RNA transcript of Hydra vulgaris (swiftwater hydra), 660 nucleotides long. RefSeq lists it as uncharacterized. The record is from RefSeq and is a predicted model, not a curated record. NCBI's taxonomy places the organism in Eukaryota, Metazoa, Cnidaria, Hydrozoa, Anthoathecata, Hydridae.
CAUGUUUAACGCAGAACUAAUUAAAUCUAAUGUUAAGCAAAUUUAUUUUAAAAUGGUUGUGAUUAUAUUAGAGAGUUUUGUAAUAAUACUAAUGUUUACCAUGAAAGAAAAGGUCGUCAAUGCCGAUAUUACUUGUAAUCAAUUUGUAAGUCUGAAUAAAUCAAAUGGAGAGCAAACAACUUUGUUAACGUAUACUUGUAUUGCUGCACAAUAUUGUUGCGUAAGUGGCUGUUGUCAAUUGUAUAACCUCUGGUACUUCUGGUUAAUUUUUGCAUUUUGUUUGAUAUUUUGCUGUACUGGAUCUUUCUAUUAUGGUUAUCGCAAAAAAAAAUCUUUGAAAGUUUGGCAAGCACCAAUGUUUGUAGAUAUGAGCUUGAAAGAACAACGAGAGAUAUGUGCGGAUUCUUUAAAUUUCCAGGCUCAUCGCAUCUAGAAUCAUUUUUCAUUUCCGCCUAAUUUUUCUAUUCAAAAUAAAUUUACUUAUGAAAGAAGAAAAGCUUUUAUUUUUUGGUGCAACGUCACGUUAUUAAAAUUAUAGUUACCAUCGUUUGAGCUCUUAAAUAAAUAUUAAAUUCUCAAAACAACGAAAAAGUUGUUCUGAGAAAAUUAAUUUAAAAUACGUUAAGAGAGUAUUUUAUAUUAAUUGAACUCAUAUUUUAU